CCUACGGGUGGCAGCAGUGGGGAAUAUUGCUCAAUGGGGGGAACCCUGAAGCAGCAACGCCGCGUGGGGGAUGAAGGUCUUCGGGUUGUAAACCCCUUUUGUUAGAGAAGAUAAUGACGGUAUCUGACGAAUAAGCACCGGCUAACUACGUGCCAGCAGCCGCGGUAAUACGGAGGGUGCAAGCGUUACUCGGGUUGACUGGGCGGAAAGAGCGCGUAGGCGGGACAGCAAGCCAGGUGUGAAAGCCCGUGGCCCAACCCCGGGACUGCCCUUGAAACUGGUGGGCUGGAGUGUAGGUGGGGUAGGCGGAAUGCAUGGUGUAGCGGUGAAAUGCGUAGAGAUCAGACAGAACACCGGUUGCGAAGGCAGCUUACCGGGCUGCUACUGACGUUGAGGCACGAAAGCGUGGGGAGCAAACAGGAUUAGAUACCCGUGUAGUC
This 440-nucleotide ribosomal RNA is filed under the name uncultured bacterium. RNAcentral describes it as "partial 16S ribosomal RNA". It matches the Rfam family "Bacterial small subunit ribosomal RNA", at positions 338 to 795 of the family's 1533-position model. The record is from RNAcentral.